UGUUUGGUUAUUUUGCCGCUGAGUGUUAUCAACUUUGUUUAAAUCUAAAACUUUACUAUUAUGGGAGAAUUAACUGUUACUAAUAUGUUCGAAUCACAAACCAUACAAGCAGACCACAAGGAUCUUAUUCACGAUGUUGCAUACGAUUUCUACGGCGAGAGAAUGGCUACAUGUUCAAGCGACCAGUAUGUUAAGGUGUGGGACACAGAUGGAAAGGGGGGCUGGAGGCUCACAGGCAGCUGGAAGGCCCACCACGGCUCCGUGUGGAAGGUCACCUGGGCCCAUCCGGAGUUUGGACAAGUGCUUGCUACAUGCUCCUUCGACAGAACCGCUGCUAUUUGGGAGGAAGUUGGAGACACAAACGCAAUGGGUUCAGAGAAAGGCCUCCGCACAUGGGUGAAACGAUCCAACCUCGUUGACUCCAGGACUUCUGUAACGGAUGUCAAGUUUGGGCCUAAACAUCUAGGUCUGCUGUUGGUCACAUGCUCGGCUGAUGGAAUUAUAAGGAUUUACGAAGCACCAGACGUGAUGAAUCUAGCGCAGUGGACUCUGCAGCACGAGAUUCCUACAAAAGUCUCAGUCAGUUGCCUCUCAUGGAACCCUUCCCUGUCAAAAGUAAACCCCCCAAUGCUGGCAGUGGGCAGCGAUGAACCGAACACAACAAACGCUGUGGUCAGCGUACAGACAGACAAAAGCACCUCUUGUAACGGAAAAGUCUUCAUAUACGAAUACAGCGACGCGUCCCGGCGCUGGACUCGAACCGACGUCCUGUCGUCGGUACAGGAGCCAGUUAACGACAUAGCCUUCGCCCCCAACUUAGGAAGAUCUUUCCAUUUGUUAGCAGUGGCCACCAAAGAUGUUAGGAUUAUCAAAAUUGAACCGGUCACAGAUUCGAACGCAUCAAACAACGGUUGCGGAGUGCGUUUCAAGACCGAAGUGUUGGCAGCGUUCGAAGACCACUACUCAUGCGUGUGGCGAGUCUCUUGGAACGUGACCGGGACAUUGCUGGCCUCUUCCGGGGACGACUGCUGCGUCAGAUUGUGGAAAAUGCAAUACCUGAACCAAUGGAAAUGCGUGGCGGUGUUCAAGAACGAGUCGUCGGCGGGCGCGGCCGCGGGCGCCCCGGGCCGCGCCUCCACCGCGUACGUGCGCCUGGCCGCCAUCGCCGACCCCGCGCUCAUGCCGCGACACUGACACACGUACGUGCGCCUGGCCGCCAUCGCCGACCCCGCGCUCAUGCCGCGACACUGACACACGUACGUGCGCCUGGCCGCCAUCGCCGACCCCGCGCUCAUGCCGCGACACUGACACACGUACGUGCGCCUGGCCGCCAUCGCCGACCCCGCGCUCAUGCCGCGACACUGACACACGUACGUGCGCCUGGCCGCCAUCGCCGACCCCGCGCUCAUGCCGCGACACUGACACACGUACGUGCGCCUGGCCGCCAUCGCCGACCCCGCGCUCAUGCCGCGACACUGACACACGUACGUGCGCCUGGCCGCCAUCGCCGACCCCGCGCUCAUGCCGCGACACUGACACACGUACGUGCGCCUGGCCGCCAUCGCCGACCCCGCGCUCAUGCCGCGACACUGACACACGUACGUGCGCCUGGCCGCCAUCGCCGACCCCGCGCUCAUGCCGCGACACUGACACACGUACGUGCGCCUGGCCGCCAUCGCCGACCCCGCGCUCAUGCCGCGACACUGACACACGUACGUGCGCCUGGCCGCCAUCGCCGACCCCGCGCUCAUGCCGCGACACUGACACACGUACGUGCGCCUGGCCGCCAUCGCCGACCCCGCGCUCAUGCCGCGACACUGACACACGUACGUGCGCCUGGCCGCCAUCGCCGACCCCGCGCUCAUGCCGCGACACUGACACACGUACGUGCGCCUGGCCGCCAUCGCCGACCCCGCGCUCAUGCCGCGACACUGACACGCGUACGUGCGCCUGGCCGCCAUCGCCGACCCCGCGCUCAUGCCGCGACACUGACACACGUACGUGCGCCUGGCCGCCAUCGCCGACCCCGCGCUCAUGCCGCGACACUGACACACGUACGUGCGCCUGGCCGCCAUCGCCGACCCCGCGCUCAUGCCGCGACACUGACACACGUACGUGCGCCUGGCCGCCAUCGCCGACCCCGCGCUCAUGCCGCGACACUGACACACGUAAUCUUCAGACAAACCCAAGCGCAAUCAAAACAAAGCCUAAGUGUUGUAAAGGACUGAAAAUAUUGUUAAUUGUAAAUAUAUUUUUUUAUUUUAUUUAAGUUUCCUGUCCUUGUUAUACUUCUAAGAAGUGAGAGAGCUGCACAUAUGGUUAGUAUUGCUAAAAAACAGAUUCCAUACUCAGUGUGUGUCAAAUCAUUCGACAAUGAGAACUAGCGUUGCCGAAAUAUAUAUUUAUUUAUAUAUAGCUGUUUGGCUUAUAAAUAAAUAUAUAUAUAUAUUUAUAAGCCAAACAGCUGAACGUGGCCCUCAUCAGUCUUUUCAAGACUGUUGGCUCAGUCUAGGGAUACAGACGUGAUUAUAUGUAUGUAGUAAAAACUUUUUACACAAACCUACUCCCGUCUGACCUCCACAACCUCGUAAGGAAACUAACCCACCUCUGUCAUUAUUAUUUCUGAAUUAUAAUCACCAAUGUUUCAUUCAUCAUCAAAACAUAUGUUUCUGUUGUUAUAUUAUUAUGUUUCACUAAGGUUUCGAAAUGUUAAAGUGACCUUUAUUUAAUGUACUCGAAGUAACUAAUUGUUUUUGCAUCUUUUCAAUCGAAUAAAUUGUGUC
Molecule: RNA transcript, 2783 nt
Organism: Amyelois transitella
Lineage: Eukaryota; Metazoa; Arthropoda; Insecta; Lepidoptera; Pyralidae
Gene: Nup44A
Gene name: nucleoporin SEH1
Exons: 9
Source: RefSeq, a predicted model, not a curated record